This 1097-nucleotide long non-coding RNA is filed under the name Piliocolobus tephrosceles (Ugandan red Colobus). RNAcentral describes it as "lncRNA (ENSPTEG00000008568.1)". The record is from RNAcentral. Lineage: Eukaryota; Metazoa; Chordata; Mammalia; Primates; Cercopithecidae.
GUGGUGCCCCAGGCUGAGAUUCUGCUGAGUCACUGUGACUGUGGAUUUGGAAGGCUGAGAGCACUGGGGAGACAUGCUCCGUGGAGGUGAAUUUGUUUCUUCCUUUGCAAGAUUCAGAUUCUGCACUCGGGGGCCCAUACAACACACUUCCCUGGGUGCAUGCUGCUGUACCACCCCUGCUCCUCAAGGCAGGGGCUCAAACCUUGUGAUGGUUAAUAUUGAACGUCAACUUGAUUGGAUUGAAGGAUGCAAAGUUACCGAUCCUGGAUGUGUCGCUGAGGGCGUUAGCAAAGGAGCUUCACAUUUGAGUCUGGGCUGGGAGAGGCAGACCUACCCUCAGUCUGGGUGGACACCAUCUAAUCAGCUGCCAGUGCGGCCAGAAUACAAAACAGGCAGAAAAACGUGAAAAGACUAGACUAGGCCUGGCGCUGUGACUCACGCCUGUAAUCCUAGCACUUUGGGAGGCCAAGACAGGUGGAUCACUUGAAGUCAGGAGUUCAAGACCAACCUGACCAAUAUGGCAAAACCCAUCUCUACUAAAAAUCCAAAAAGUUUAGCUGGGUGUUUUGGCACAUGCCUGUAAUCCCAGCUGCUCAGGAGGCUGAGGCAGGAAAAUAGCUUGAACCCAGGAAGCAGAGGUUGUGGUGAGCUGAGAUCACACCGCUGUACUCUAACCUGGGUGACAGAGUGAGACUCACCUCACCAAAAAAAAAAAAAAAAAAAAAUGGCUAGACUGGCUUAGCCUCCCAGCCUACAUCUCUCUCCUGUGCUGGAUGCUUCCUGCCCUCCAACAUCAGACUCCAAGUUCUUCAGCUUUGGGACUCGGAUUGGCUUCCUUGCUCCUCAGCUUGCAGAUGGCCUAUUGUGGGACCUUGUGAUCAUGUGAGUUAAUACUACAUAUGUCUAUCUUAUUAGUUCUGUCCCUCUAUAGAAACCUGACUAAUCCACACCUGUAAUCCCAGCACUUUGGGAGGGCAAGGCAGGCGGAUCCCUUGAGGCCAGAAAUUUGAGACCAGCCUGGGCAACGUAGUGAGACCCCAUCUCUACAAAACAUAAUUUUAAAUAAAAUUAGCCAGGCGUGGUAGUAUGUGUCUAUA